GAUGAACGCUGGCGGCAUGCCUAAUACAUGCAAGUCGAACGAGAGGAAGGAAAGCUUGCUUUUCUGAAUCUAGUGGCGAACGGGUGAGUAACACGUAGGUAACCUGCCCAUGUGCCCGGGAUAACUUCUGGAAACGGAUGCUAAAACCGGAUAGGUAGCAGACAAGCAUUUGACUGCUAUUAAAGUGGCUAAGGCCAUGAACAUGGAUGGACCUGCGGUGCAUUAGCUAGUUGGUGAGGUAACGGCCCACCAAGGCGACGAUGCAUAGCCGGCCUGAGAGGGCGGACGGCCACAUUGGGACUGAGACACGGCCCAAACUCCUACGGGAGGCAGCAGUAGGGAAUUUUCGUCAAUGGGGGGAACCCUGAACGAGCAAUGCCGCGUGAGUGAAGAAGGUCUUCGGAUUGUAAAGCUCUGUUGUAAGAGAAAAACGACAUUCAUAGGGAAUGAUGAGUGAGUGAUGGUAUCUUACC
This 473-nucleotide ribosomal RNA is filed under the name uncultured bacterium. Its description in RNAcentral is "bacterial SSU rRNA". It matches the Rfam family "Bacterial small subunit ribosomal RNA", at positions 28 to 484 of the family's 1533-position model. The record is from RNAcentral.